CCCUUAGAUGUUCUGGGCUGCACGCGCGCUACACUGAAGCGUUCAACGAGUAUUCACCUUGCCCGGGAGGGUUGGGUAAUCUUUUGAAAACGCUUCGUGAUGGGGAUAGAUUAUUGCAAUUAUUAAUCUUCAACGAGGAAUUCCUAGUAAGCGCGAGUCAUCAGCUCGUGCUGAUUACGUCCCUGCCCUUUGUACACACCGCCCGUCGCUCCUACCGAUUGAGUGUUCCGAUGAAUACCAUGGACUGAGAGUAUGAAUGGGUUCGCCUAUUUCUGCUUCUCGGGAAGUGGAGUAAAUCUUAACAUUUAGAGGAAGGAGAAGUCGUAACA
Molecule: ribosomal RNA, 329 nt
Filed under: uncultured eukaryote
Lineage: Eukaryota
Description: partial 18S ribosomal RNA
Rfam family: Eukaryotic small subunit ribosomal RNA
Source: RNAcentral